RNAcentral lists this unclassified non-coding RNA (1808 nucleotides) under Dimorphilus gyrociliatus. Its description in RNAcentral is "dgyrCDS11822". The record is from RNAcentral. Lineage: Eukaryota; Metazoa; Annelida; Polychaeta; Dinophilidae.
AAACUUGAAUAUCAUGAAAGAGGAUAAUAAUUGAACGAAGUUGGUAGAAUGUAAAUGAAAAAUGUUGAUCAAUUGAUUGACUUUUGUAUACUUUACAUUUUCAAACCUUUAUGUAGAUUUUCUACCGUUCACUGGAAACUUUAUUGAACGUUGUUACUGCAAAGUGAGUAGAGUUUUUUUUUAUUUUUCACCUACUCCCUUAUUAUCCUUAUCCCUUGCAUUUCUUAUUGUGAAACUAAAGCAAUACAUAGAAAAGUAUAUAAUGAUUUUUCCCUACGUUUGACCUUAUUAAUAAAUAGUAGAUUUAAUGUUGUUAUUUUGUCUGAAAACUGUGUUGAUAGGGAGAAUUAGGGGUGUCUGUCUUUUAUUUUUGCAUAUUAAAUAAAUGUGUAUUUAGAUAACAGCUAUUGGGAAAUAAGAUCAUGUUAAAUCUUAAAAUUCUAUAUUAUAUGUCUAUUUGAAUUGGAAUAAGACGCAUUAAAGUCUGCCGAACUGUCAGUUAUUAAUUGGAAAAUAAUAAACGCUUAUUAAAAUUGUAUAUUAGUUGCCCUUCCCUCCCAAUCCUAUAUUUUUCACUUUCUGUUCUAUUUCCCAACACCUAUUUACCACCCCUCUACCGCCCCUCUCUUGCUCGUUGUCGUUAACGUUCUUCGACUGUGCAAAGGUGGAAUUCAGACGAAGUCAUAAAGCCGCUUUCGAGACGGAAGGAAAAGAAAAAUGAGUGAAAGUAAGAUCUCUUCAAGAAAAGUUAGCAUAGCUUCGACGACUCUUCAGAGGAAGAGGUCCAGUCUAAAGCAUAUUGCUCAAAGUGUUACAGCGAUGUUUGGUUUGAAACGAAUGUCUAGAGGAAUGUCUUUACAUAGAGUCAGCGAAAAGCCUUUAAUUAAAUUGGAGAAUACCUAUAAAACUGAACCUGACCAGAGAUUCCCUGUUACAAGAGCUCGCGAAGCUAUCUACACUCUUUUUGAACCUAUUCUUUGCGGAAAAAGAUACGAUCCCAGCGAGGCUCCUCGCCUAAUUUGCUCUUUGACGAAUAUGACCAAGAAUCGAAUGAAAGAUUUAGGAUAUGAUAGAUACAAGUAUGUCGUACAGAUUGCGUACGGUCAAGUGAAUGAUCAAGGCUUUCGAAUGGCCUCCAGAGCUUUAUGGAAUUCUCAGAGCGAUAAUUAUCUGACAGUUGAAUAUAAGAACGAUUCAAUUUUUCUCGUUUGUAUUGUUCAUGCUGUUUAUUUAGAUUGAUAAAAAGAAAAAUUUGUGUCAAAUCCUUUUCAAUUUUUCUCUUUUUCCCUUAAAUAUACCUUUCUCUUUUUUAUAUAUAUAUUUAAAAGAAUCGUAAAAAAUCACUCUUUAAAGUUGAAUACCUUUGAAUAAUAUGAUAUUUGCUAUAGCUGGGGGAAAGAAAGAAAGAAAGAGAGAGAGAGAGAGAGAGAGAGAGAGAAUAGUCCGUAUCAGUUACCAACCAAUAAGAUUACAGAUGGUGUACUUUCAACAAGAUUUUUUCAAUUAUCUUAAUAAAUAUAUACUGCAUACUAUAAAGUAUAUUUACAUUGUAACACCAUAAAAGUUUCUAUGCUAUGAGUAAAUUCUAGGAUAAGAUCAAAUGAAGAAAAAAAAGGAAACUUUAUAUUUUACUAGUUUUGAACACUCUGAAAAAGUAUCAUAGUCCUCUAUUUGAAUAAAGAUAAUAGACAAUUUCUUCUUAUCGUAUCUAAUAUAAAAGUAUUAUAAGGUGAAUUAAUGAAAGAAAAAUAAAACAACUGAAGAUGGCAUUACCAUAUUAUAAAAAUUAUAAGAAUAUUGACUAUCAU